This 55-nucleotide transfer RNA is filed under the name Caenorhabditis brenneri. It matches the Rfam family "tRNA", at positions 1 to 53 of the family's 71-position model. Rfam says of the family: Transfer RNA (tRNA) molecules are approximately 80 nucleotides in length. Their secondary structure includes four short double-helical elements and three loops (D, anti-codon, and T loops). Lineage: Eukaryota; Metazoa; Nematoda; Chromadorea; Rhabditida; Rhabditidae. The record is from Rfam by way of RNAcentral.
GCUUCCGUAGCGCAGUAGGCAGCGCGUCAGUCUCAUAAUCUGAAGGUCGUGAGCA